CUUAGGCGCCAAUGAUGCCUUUAUUCAAAAUGUCUGAACCUGUCUGAAGCAUCCCAGUGAUGCAAACUCUGUAUGGUGCUGAGGCUUUUCUGCCU
Molecule: small nucleolar RNA, 95 nt
Organism: Microcebus murinus (gray mouse lemur)
Lineage: Eukaryota; Metazoa; Chordata; Mammalia; Primates; Cheirogaleidae
Source: Ensembl